CCUCCUUCUCGUAAUAGUUAUGUACAAUAUAUGAAGGGAUACGAUUUGCGUCUUUGAUUUAGACAUAUCUCUUGCCUCAUACUUAAACAAUAACUUGAAAAAUAUUUUACAAAGAAAAAGAACAUUGUUCAUCUGAAUGUCAUUCAUUAUUAUAUUGCUAUAUUUUAUACCCUAUUAUUAAUAUAUACAAAAUUUCUUAAUUGCCUUUUACAGAUGCACGGAAGCAUAUAAUAUAACAGUUCUAAAGUAUCCCAUUAUUAGACUUUUUCUUGGCUCAUCUCAAUCUCUUUAAUAAACUAUGUUUGCUUGGAGAAUAUAGGAAGUAUUUGGAAUGUUGUUUAAAGUUUAAUAGUAACUGGUAGCAUUGUCCAUUUGCGGCCUGAAUGGUGGGAGCACCUAUCAGGGCGAUCUGGUAGAGAUAGCAGCAUCAUAAGACUCAAACAAUCAUGGAAGGCUGUUAAUGUGCAGUGUCGACGGGUGCCAGGUCCUGUUCUUUACUGGGGGCUUUUCGUUUCUUCGGCUGCGUUUUGUUGUUGUUUUCCCUCUGCUCUCGGUUUUGCCUUCGGGCUGCUCGCCCUUUGCUUUCCUGUCUUGACUCCUUACUUUCGUCUUUGUUGGACUUUUUUCUUUUUUCCUCCCUAUUUUUUUUCCCUUUUCCUUCCUUCUGACAUCUCUUUCUUUGUACCAUACAUUUUCUGCUCUCGCUUGUAGCUGGGCAAGGAUUGCCCCUUGCUGACGGAUGUUGUACGAUCUCUCUGACCCUUACUUCAUUUCCUCUUUUGAAACCACAUGUUUUUCCUUUCUUUGUGCAAGGGCUCCAUGGACUCCACUCACUAGCUUCACAGUGCACUGCAACAAACAUAGGACACGCUGAGCCUGGCCAAUAUAUUUCUGUAUACAUUAUGCAUAUGGUACAUACAUCUUAUUCUGCAUCAGCUAAAAACUAACAAACACAAAU
Molecule: long non-coding RNA, 958 nt
Filed under: Gallus gallus (chicken)
Lineage: Eukaryota; Metazoa; Chordata; Aves; Galliformes; Phasianidae
Source: RNAcentral